RNAcentral lists this long non-coding RNA (5367 nucleotides) under Sus scrofa (pig). RNAcentral describes it as "lncRNA (ENSSSCG00050026907.1)". Lineage: Eukaryota; Metazoa; Chordata; Mammalia; Artiodactyla; Suidae. The record is from RNAcentral.
AUAAAAAGACCAAAAAACAAACAAAAAAAACCCAAAAAACAAAAUUUCAUAACAUGUCUUUUUUUUUUUUUUAAUGAUUUUGUAUAAACACAUACCUAUGGAUGAGAACCUUUUUUUUUUUUUCUGUUAGGACUAUAAUAAAAGCAUCAAGCUCCAGUUGUUCUGCAUUCCUUUUGCAAGCACAUGUUUAAACAUUUUGUGUUUAGUACCAAAUCAUAGCCCGUAAUAAAAGAGCAAGCAGAUGGCUCUCUCCUGGUUAGGUGCUGAUGCUAAACCCAUCCCUUCUUUCUGACAACCGAGGCCAGCCUAGAAACUGCAGCUCCUCAGGAAAAUGUCUUUCUUUCCUCUACCUCUUGCCAUCAAGAAAAACUAGCUCAAAGGAAAUUUUUCCAGCACGGCGUUGGAAGAGGGGUCUGAAAAUCGUGUUGAAUCAUUGUGGAUAACUCAAGGAGAUGGCUUGUCCUCCUUUUCGAAUCCUGGGUUUCUACGAGAGGGAAAAAGACUUUUUUUUAUAGUCAAUUUCUGCAAAGAAUGCCUGGGAAUUGGGCUACAGUGCAAAGCUGCACGUGGGGGGGAGGCCUGUGAGGGCGGGGGAACGCCGCGGGCAGGGCAGACGUACAAAUAAUGAGUCAGGUUUAAAAGGCUGUGGUCAGACUCAAGGAGAGAGUGAUACGGAUCUUAUAGGAGAUGAGCUUGGACACCACACCAGCUGCCACGGGGUUUGAUUAAUGAGGUAUUAAGGAGAUCGAGUGACACUUACAGCUAGUUACUUAUGGUGCUAAUUUCAAAACACUUUGCAAUAGACAAAGAGAGUCUGCUCAUAAUGCAAAGUAAUUUGUGGUGUGUUCCUGGCGAAUGCAUUUAGCGAAGCAAAUAUAGUUAUGCAGAAUUUAAAUUAAGGUUGACACUAAUGUAAACAGAGCCCAAGAACCACUGUCCAAUAAUUUGAUGAGGACACAGGUUUUAAUCAAGCCUCUUCCACUAAAAUAGCAAUUUAAAUCCCCAUCGUUUAAACGGGAUAAAACGCUUAAGCCGUGAAUGUUGAGGGGAAAAAAUAAAAAUUUACUAGAAAAGAAAAAAGAAACACAAUAUCUCUGGGGAAACUGUGAUUAUACUUUGACACAACAGAGGGAUUUUCACGCCGACUUACAUAUCAGGUUGAUUUCAAGGCCAGAUUCUGGGAACUCGGAGGCAUUUUCCCUCGUUAUCUUUCUUGCUGUGAAGCGAUGGUUUCUGAAGUACGGAUCUCAGAAUGGAAGUGAUCUUGCUAUGAGAAAAUGGGGACAAUCUCUGCUGAUUCAGGGGCCCUGGAAGGAUGCGUCUUACUUACUAAAAGGAGAACUAUUGUCCCCUCGAACUGAUUUCUCAAUGGACUGAAGAUUUGCAAAUUGACUGGGGGUGUUGGGUGGGGGGCAGGCCAGGUGAGGGCUGGGGGCGUUCUCCUGAGGGUCAGCUUUGCCCUUUCCGGGAGGCUCACACUUACCAUAGCCAAGCUUUGCUGGUUUAUUUCUCUUCCCGAAAAUCACUGGGGCAGGGCGGGGGGGGCGGUCAGCCGGUCCCCCUUAAUUAAAAUGCCGGUGGCCCACGCUCCAGGGCUUGGAAAGCCUGUAUAUGGGAAACAAAACCCAACAGAACAGCAGCUCAGAAGGAGAAACAGAGGAAGGUCUGGCCACAUCUCCUAGGGUCUUCUGACGUCACUCUUGGCAAAGGAAGCUGGGAGGAUCCUAAAUUGUGAUCUGACCUUUGCAAAUCACAUUAAUGGUGCAUCUUUGGGGGACAGAACUUUGUACAAACAGGUGUGUUUUCAUACGUCAUUGGCCCUUUCAUAUGGCAGAAAGGGCCAAAAACUUUUUCACAGACAUGCUUUCAAGGUAAAGGGUGUGAAGAUGCUCCCCGCCAUAACAUCCACUCUCUCCCAGCUUGGGGACCCAGGGGGACAUGGAGACGGUCACCUUUUGGGGUCAGAGGACCAAGUGUUUGCUUCAUUCCCAGCCUCACCUCCACGGUCACAAAGUGGCCCUACGCGGUUCCAUCGCCUUCCCAAGGCCACGCGGGCAGCCAGGACAGGGCCUGUGUCCUCCUCCUCCUCGGCCCACAGGAAAGCCCCGUCCUCGCUCCAUAUUCACCCUGUGCGGUGCUCAGCGGUUCUCGUGCCCAUCUGGGGAAGACUCCACUUUGGGGUGUUUCCCAAGGGAAACCGACGGCUCAAACUCCCUGCCUCCGAAGCUGCCUGAGAGGGAGGAGGGGAAGGGAGAGGCGGUGCCCCCAACCCUGAGUCAGAGAAAACGACCUGAAAUGCAUCUGCGUGAAUCAGAGUGAGGGCGAGCUGCUGUCUGCAUCCAAGGAUACUGAUCUCGGGGUCCUCAUGUCGGAGGUGAGAGGGGCCAGUGGGGAGGUCCCAGCCUGGAUUCCCGCUGCCAGCAUCUCCUUUCUGCUGGACCAGCACAGAGAUGGCUUGCGAGAUGCAGAAAAGGAGUCAAGAAAGCAGCUGAGCCUGGACGGCCAGGCACUCCCAGAACCAGGUAGAAAGGAAAACAUUUUGUGGAGUUUGGCAAGCCUGGGGCUUUUCCAGGGCCUGUCUCAGCCUCCUCCCCUCCCCUCUGACCCGGGCUGGGACUGUGCAGGUCGUCCCCCAGGGCGCCAGGCACCUGCCAUUGACAUGGAAUGUGGAUUUCUGCCCCUGGGAAGUGGGGCACAGUCUCUCCUCACGGCUGUUCCUCAGCCCCAGGGUCAGGUGCAAAGCUGCUGCUCUGGCCACAGGCCCCCCUACUCAGGUCCUCUUGGGGUCCUGGCUGGUGGAGCCCUGCUGCCCAUGGCCUUGACCAGCCCAGGGCUGUUCCUCCUCCUGCUCAGCUCCCCAGCCCUCCCUCUGCCCGCUUCCAGGAUCUACAUGCUCUGGGUUUGAGGGACAACACAGAAGUUAUUCAGCUCCUCCCUUUGUUUUACCCUUUUUUUUUUUUUUUUUGGUUUUUUUUUUUUUUUAAGGCUGCACCUGCAGCAUAUGGAAGUUCCCAGGCUAGGGCGCUGGGGUCAGUUGAAUCAAAGCUGCAGCUGCCAGCUUAUUCCACAAACACAGCCACGCCAGACCCUCAACCAACUGAGUGAGGCCAGGGAUCAAACCCACAUCUUCAUGGAUCCUAGUCAGGUUCAUUACCACUGAGCCAGGACGGGAACUCCAUUUCACCCUUUUAGUCAAAAUACCGGAGGCCUUGGGCCAGGGCAGCAGCAUUCGUGUCACGCCCUCUCUGCAGCGACACCCGAUGCAGGAUUGACCCCAGCGCCCACUUCCAUCCUCUUUUCCCCUGACAUGGGCAAAAGUCUCAGAAGUGCCACCUCUUCUCUUUUGGCCUCUGUCUCUGUCUCUCUCCUUCUCUUCCAGGAGAUUAAAAAACAAAACAAAACAAAACACAAACAAACAAUUUUACAGACAACAGUUUUUAUAAAAGUUUCCUGAAAUGAGUGAUGCCGGGAUGUGUCCUUGACCCAUUUCUUGUUCUGGAAUUGGGGGAUGGGGGGAGAGGAUGUGAGCAGUUGGGUCACCAGGCUUGGGGGGGAAGGGGAGCCUGCAUUCACGGCCCCUUCUCUGGGAAGGAGCUCGGAACCUGUUUUUCCAGCCUUGCUUCUCCAUGGACCCUCAGCGCCAAUCCCAACAUGAACAAAGUUGCUAUGGUUUUUACGGUUAUCUGAAGAAUUCGUCUCAAGUGAGAUUCACAUACCAGCAGGGGCAGGUGCUGGGAUCCUGACAGCCAGCCGGCCACCCAGCCUCGCCAGUGCCACCGUCCACCUUGCGCAGCCGCUUACUUGCAAGGAACAGGACCCUGCGCUGCCAGCUCUGGCCCAGAGACCUCCCCCUACUUCUGCUGCAACAGAGAGGAGAUGACUAGGCUUUUCUUUCUUUCUUUUUUCUUUUUUUGGUCUUUUUAGGACUGCAUGCGUGGCAUAUGGAGGUUCCCAGGCUAGGGGUCUAACCGGAGCUGUAGUCGCCGUCCUACGCCAGAGCCACAGCAACGAGGGAUCCAAGCCAUGUCUGCGACCUAUACCACAGCUCACGGCAACGCCUGAUCCUUAACCCACUGAGCGAGGCCAGGGAUCGAACCUGCAACCUCAUGGUUCCUAGUCGGAUUUGUUAACCACUGAGCCACAACGGGAACUCCUGACUAGACUUUUGUCAUCACCUAUGCAGCAUUCCCUAUUGGCAGGAUGCUGAGUCCCUACAGCCCAGAGCAGGAGAUCCUCCGGACCGAGCCCAGGCCCCUCAGCAGCAGGCUGGCCACUGAGAGAACCGGGUCACCAGGGACAGGCUCUAUCCAGGGGUCAGCUGACCCCACAACCUAUUCCAGCGGAGCCUGCUGUUGUGUGCCUGUGACGGCUGUCCCUAGUCAUUGUGGACCUUUGUGGUCCGGUCUCCUCUCAGGGAGGUGGUUGGAAGGGGCAAGACCCCUGCCCUGCGUCCAGGGCAACUCUGCACCAAGAUGGAUAGAAAAGAUUGGCAAUGUCCACAGAUAAACAAGCUUAGUGACAGGCUCGGGGGAUUCUCCAUUGGAAUCUUAAACUAAACUGUGGACAUUUCAUCCGUUAUUUAUUCAUUUAUUGUUUUUUUUUUUUUGGCCAUGCAGUGAGAACAUGCGAUCCUUAACCCACUGAGCCACCAGGGAACUCCCAUAGCCUUUAUUCUGAUGUACUGCUUCUGAUAAGCAUUUUGGGGGCCACUUCUGGGACUGAGUGUUUUUUUUUUUUUUCUCAAGCCUUUAUUUCUAGAUUUUACCCCUUUAUCUCCUUUCCCUCUUCCUCUCCUCCAGGACCCAGAUGUGGACUCCCACGCUUGUGUCCCCGUUGCUCCUCCUGCCUCAGCCCUGCAGGCUGUGCCAUGCUCCAAAUCAUUAAUAGCACUGAUUGCAGAGAAGAACCCACAAUUUUUACUUAUCCUACAGAACUCUUUGUAUGGGCAGGUCACCAGCAGCUCCCCCACCCCUGUGUAUUUCCUUAACCAUUCAUUGCUCUGACUCUGAAGCAUGUGGGUAUUUUUCAGAUAAAUAGGUUAAUAUUUUAUUCCCUUAAAAUGCUAUAGGGCACAUGGCUUGGUGUUCUAGAAUAUUCCCUACCGAAGGAUCUCCUUGCUAUGCACUAGCAGUUUUGAAGAAGUAUCUUGGAAUACUGAUGGCCUGGGGAUGUUGCCAGGGUUACCUGAGCACAUCAGUGUCUGCAAAGUCAGAGCCACACCCCCUGGGAGGUCCAUCGGCUUAAACCAGCAGGACAGUCUUCAUGUUCUUGUGAACUUUCCAAUUCAUACACUUUACUUGAGAUUCUACCGGUCAAGGUGUUGGCAACACCUCAACUCUCCCUUCCCUUAAUUAUUUACCAAACCCU